Molecule: ribosomal RNA, 384 nt
Filed under: uncultured prokaryote
Description: bacterial SSU rRNA
Rfam family: Archaeal small subunit ribosomal RNA
Source: RNAcentral
GCGAAAACUUUACAAUGCUGGCAACAGCGAUAAGGGAACCUCGAGUGCCAGGUUACAAAUCUGGCUGUCGAGAUGCCUAAAAAGCAUUUCAUAGCAAGGGCCGGGCAAGACCGGUGCCAGCCGCCGCGGUAACACCGGCGGCUCGAGUGGUAACCGUUAUUAUUGGGUCUAAAGGGUCUGUAGCCGGCCGGAUAAGUCUCUUGAGAAAUCUGGCAGCUUAACUGUCAGGCUUUCAGGAGAUACUGUCUGGCUCGAGGUCGGGAGAGGUGAGAGGUACUGCAGGGGUAGAGGUGAAAUCUUGUAAUCCUUGAAGGAACACCAGUGGCGAAGGCGUCUCACCAGAACGGACCUGACGGCAAGGGACGAAAGCUAGGGGCACGAACC